RNAcentral lists this ribosomal RNA (487 nucleotides) under uncultured bacterium. Its description in RNAcentral is "partial 16S ribosomal RNA". It matches the Rfam family "Bacterial small subunit ribosomal RNA", at positions 28 to 507 of the family's 1533-position model. The record is from RNAcentral.
GAUGAACGCUAGCGGUAGGCUUAACACAUGCAAGUCGAGGGGCAGCACAAGGUAGCUUGCUCUCUGGGUGGCGACCGGCGCGCGGGUGCGUAACGCGUAUGCAACUUGCCCUAUACAGGAGGAUAACCCGUCGAAAGACGGACUAAUACUGCGUAUGCUCACAACUUGGCAUCAAGUGGUGAGGAAAGAAAUUCGGUAUAGGAUAGGCAUGCGUCCCAUUAGCUUGUUGGUGAGGUAACGGCUCACCAAGGCAACGAUGGGUAGGGGAACUGAGAGGUGUACCCCCCAGAACGGUACUGCGGCCCAGACCACACUGGGACGGGACGCAGGAGUGAGUAAUAUAGGGCACGGGGCCCGAGCCUGAACCAGCCAAGUGGCGUGAAGGAGGACUGUCUUAGGGAUUGUAAACUUCUUGUAUACGGGAAUAACAAGAGUCACGCGUGACUUCCUGAAUGUACCGUAUGAAUAAGCAUCGGCUAACUCCGUG